RNAcentral lists this ribosomal RNA (346 nucleotides) under uncultured Tremula. Its description in RNAcentral is "bacterial SSU rRNA". The stretch from base 131 to 346 matches the Rfam family "Eukaryotic small subunit ribosomal RNA", at positions 740 to 955 of the family's 1831-position model. Lineage: Eukaryota; Cercozoa. The record is from RNAcentral.
GAUUUCUGGUAUGAUGCCCCUGAUCCGUGCCCUUUACGGGGUAUGUGUGUUGGUGUGGCGUCUGCCAUCUUAUGUAUAGAUGCUUUGUUCUUUCCUGGUGCCUUUACUGGUUUCAGGGGACUUAGGUUAUCAUCUAUAUCUUUUACUUUGAAAAAAUUAGAGUGUUUAAAGCAGGCUUUUAGCCCUUGAAUACAUUAGCAUGGAAUAAUAAUAUAGGACUUCGGUUCUAUUUUGUUGGUUUCUAGUACUGAAGUAAUGAUUGAUAGGGAUAGUUGGGGGUGCUAGUAUUCAGCGGCCAGAGGUGAAAUUCUUGGAUUCGCUGAAGACUAACUUAUGCGAAAGCAUU